GCCAGGCAUGCCUGUGCGUGCCUGUAGUCCCAGCUACUCAGAAGGCUGAGGUGGGAGGAUUGCCUGAGCCCAGGAUUUCUGGGCUGUAGUGCACUGUGCUGAUCAGGUGCCCGCACUCAUUUCAGCAUCAAUAUGAUGAACUCCUAGGAGCAGGAGAUUACCAGGUUGCCUAAGAAGGGGUGAACCAGCCCCAGCUGGAAAUGGAGCAGGUCAAAAUUCCAGUGCUGAUCAGUAGUGGGAUGGCACCAGUGAAUAACAAUUGCACUCCAGCCUGAGAAACAUAGCCAGAUCCCCCCCUUU
Molecule: unclassified non-coding RNA, 300 nt
Organism: Callithrix jacchus (white-tufted-ear marmoset)
Lineage: Eukaryota; Metazoa; Chordata; Mammalia; Primates; Cebidae
Rfam family: Metazoan signal recognition particle RNA
About the family: The signal recognition particle (SRP) is a universally conserved ribonucleoprotein. It is involved in the co-translational targeting of proteins to membranes.
Source: Ensembl